Molecule: unclassified non-coding RNA, 247 nt
Filed under: uncultured Phanerochaete
Lineage: Eukaryota; Fungi; Basidiomycota; Agaricomycetes; Corticiales; Corticiaceae
Description: sequence contains ITS1
Source: RNAcentral
CAUUAACGAGUAACUGAACAGGUUGUAGCUGGCCUCUCGGGGCAUGUGCACGCCUGGCUCAUCCACUCUUCAACCUCUGUGCACUUGUUGUAGGUCGGUAGAAGAGCGAGCAUCCUCUGAUGCUUUGCUUGGAAGCCUUCCUAUGUUUUACUACAAACGCUUCAGUUUAAGAAUGUCUACCUGCGUAUAACGCAUCUAUAUACAACUUUCAGCAACGGAUCUCUUGGCUCUCGCAUCGAUAAGAACG